Molecule: long non-coding RNA, 1283 nt
Organism: Micropterus salmoides (largemouth bass)
Lineage: Eukaryota; Metazoa; Chordata; Actinopteri; Centrarchiformes; Centrarchidae
Exons: 3
Source: RefSeq, a predicted model, not a curated record
AAAGUGACGUAAAUGAACCGGGCAAACGGCGAAAAGGACGAAAGAAAAGUCUGAAAAGGUUCACGGAAAAACAGUUAAAACUACAAGGUUUAGCUUCGGUCAAUUGGGGAACAAGCUCUUACGUUGGUUGAUGACAAUGAAAGCAAUAAACGUCAUUUAACCAUCAGUUCUGGCCUUCUCAACUUUGACUGGAUGCUACACUCUGCAGGACGCUCACUUUGUGUCUUUGUUGCUGACGCAGUUCUGUUCUCCUGCAGCGAAGCUCCUGUGCUGCUCCCUGCUGGCUGUCUGUCUGCAUGCACAGCUGAAGCACAGAUAUUUAGAAUAUCCGUAACAAUGUGGAAAAGUGUUUUAACUUUAAUGCAUGCUGGGAGGUGAGGCAUGAAGUAAAUGAUCAAUUGGACGUUUACUCACCUUAAUUCAUUAUAAUACAUUAUACAUAAACAAUAUAAACUUGAAACUGUAAUCACCCUGAGAAUUGUUGAUUGAAUGCAACAGAUGUGACAAAACCAAUUAAAUUCAACAUAUGUUUUUAAAUAAAUGCACAAAAUCCCGGAGGCAAAGAGGCAGGACAGACUCUUUAAUUAUGAUUUCCUCUGGUUACCCCAGGACAGUAUAUAUACUGUCAGUGCUUUGUUAAAGUUGCUUCUUUAUCUAUUCUAUUCAGACUGUGUGAGUUUAUGGUUUCUUGUAACCACUUUACAUGAAGUUUAAUUUCAUACAAACGUUUUUGUUUUUCUAACUGUGACUUUCUGUCAUCUAAAGUUAUGUUGAGUCGGGUGUCAGUACCUGAGUCCAGGUGCUCAGUUUAAGAGCAGUUUUUUAACAGUAAAAUAAACGUAUAGUAUCAAAAGCAAAACUCAUUAUGCAAAUGGACCCAUUCAGAUGAUGAAUAUUAUUAAAAGGUGCACAAGUAUGUUGCCAUGGCAAUUUACGUUUCCAACUAGCUCUCUCUGUACUGGUUUGCCCUCAAGACCUGCUCUUCAAUACCACACAGCACCGCCUCACACCCUGUACACCUGAGACAGAAAAGGCCGACAUGGAGGGAAGGAGAAAGCCGAUUGCAGUGGGAAGAUCUGGUCCACGUCCAACUGAAGACACGAGACUCAUAUGUGGAGACGGCAGUACUGCUGGACACUCUCACAGCAGGUUAUCUUCGUGGUUAACUCAUGUCACCCUGUAUACAGACUAGGCUGUUAUAAGCCAGAGAUUAUUCAAGGUUUUACUUUAAGAUUUGUGAUUUUAAUUGUAGGCCAAUUUUCUUGUAUUCUUGUCCCAGCUCC